Molecule: long non-coding RNA, 216 nt
Filed under: Lathyrus oleraceus (garden pea)
Lineage: Eukaryota; Viridiplantae; Streptophyta; Magnoliopsida; Fabales; Fabaceae
Description: Pisum sativum (pea) long non-coding RNA (PSAT_LNC030516)
Source: RNAcentral
UAAAUUAAUUAAUUAUCCUAAUCCCAUUUGGUUUUUGAGUUGCAUUUAAUGUUCUUGAUUGUGAUGCUUGGAAUCUAAUUUUGUUGCUCUGUGUUGGAAAUUUCGCCUUCAUUUGUUGCUCUGACAUUUGCAACACCUACAUUGUGUUGGGUUUGAGUAUGAGUUGGGUUUAACGUAAUCUUAUAAGAUUGGCUUGCAAAGUGAGACUAAAUCCAC